This is an RNA transcript of Ziziphus jujuba (common jujube), 3973 nucleotides long. It is a transcript of the gene named pre-mRNA-splicing factor ATP-dependent RNA helicase DEAH1, with no coding region annotated. The transcript has 29 exons. NCBI's taxonomy places the organism in Eukaryota, Viridiplantae, Streptophyta, Magnoliopsida, Rosales, Rhamnaceae. The record is from RefSeq and is a predicted model, not a curated record.
CAUACGCCAUGCCUUGCACACUGAAAAAAACAAAAAGUACAGAGGCAGCUGGCAAAAACGUCCUCGUCUUUUCCUUUUAUUUCUCUGUGUCGUCGUCUACCUCCGGCCACAGCUGGUUCUUCCGGCGGACGAUUAGGGCUUUUCUUUUUGUUUUGUUCAACAAGUUCCAGAAACCAAAUCAAAUUGGUUUCUCUGCUGAAAAAAGAAAAAAAAAACACAAAAACAAAAACCCUAACAUCUUAAAUUGUCAGUGGAUAUGGGUAGCGAGAGCCAUCUGAGAACAUGGGUGUCUGAUAUGUUAAUGUCACUGUUGGGAUAUUCUCAGUCCACUGUCGUUCAGUACGUUAUUGGGAUAGCUAAGCAAGCAACAUCACCAUCUGAUGUGGUGAGCAAGCUUGUGGAGUUUGGGUUACCAUCAUCUAGUGAAACACAAGCAUUUGCUGAAGAAAUCUUCUCAAGGGUACCACGUAAAGCGGCUGGUUUGAAUCUUUAUCAAAAACAAGAGAGAGAAGCCGCUAUGUUGGUGAGAAAGCAGAAGACUUAUGCCAUAUUGGAUGCAGAUGACGAGGAUGAUGAUGAUGAUGGUGACGCUCCAAAUGCUAAAUCUUCCAUUGAGACUACUUAUGAGAGUAGGAAAGUGGUAUCCCAUAAGAAGCGAUUUAGGAAGAAGACUGAGGAACAAGAUGAAGAUGAUGAGGUGGUUGCACGGGGAGAAGAAGAGAGACGGGUUAAAAGACGAACUUCUUCAGAUGAGGAUAAUGAUGCAGAGUCAGACGAAGAAUUAUUACGCGAUCAAAGAGAAAGAGAGAAAUUAGAACAAAAUUUAAGAGAACGUGAUGCAGCAAAGACACGGAAGUUAACAGAGCCAAAUUUAUCGAAGAAGGAGGAAGAGGAGGCUAUUCGGAGAUCAAAAGCUUUGGAGGAAGAUGACACUGAAGUUUUGAGAAAAGUGUCGAGACAAGAAUAUCUAAAGAAGAGGGAGCAAAAGAAACUGGAGGAAAUAAGAGAUGAUAUAGAAGAUGAGCAAUAUUUAUUUGAUGGUGUGAAGCUUACUGAAGCGGAAUAUCGUGAAUUAAGGUACAAGAAACAAAUAUACGAGCUUGUGAAGAAACGCUCAGAGGAAGCGGAGGAUACGGCAGAGCAGUAUAGGAUGCCAGAGGCAUAUGAUCAGGAAGGUGGUGUUAAUCAGGAGAAGAGAUUUGCUGUGGCCAUUCAACGUUACAGGGACUCGGGUGCUGGGGAUAAAAUGAACCCAUUCGCAGAACAGGAAGCAUGGGAGGAUCAUCAAAUUGGUAAGGCAACAUUAAAAUUUGGUUCCAAAAAUAAGAAGCGAUCAGAUGACUAUCAGUUUGUGUUUGAGGAUCAGAUUGAGUUUAUCAAGGCAUCAGUAAUGGAUGGAGAUGAGUUUGAUAGCGAGCAACUUAUGGAGUCCAGUGAGAAGUCUAAGGCACAAUCAGAAUUGGAGAAGCUUCAGGCUGACAGGAAAACUUUACCAAUAUAUCCAUAUCGGGAUGAGCUGCUCAAAGCUGUUGAGGAACAUCAGGUUCUUGUCAUUGUUGGUGAAACUGGUUCAGGAAAAACCACACAGAUACCCCAAUAUCUUCAUGAAGCUGGAUACACAAAGCGUGGAAAGGUUGGAUGUACACAGCCAAGGCGAGUUGCUGCUAUGAGUGUUGCUGCCAGAGUUUCUCAAGAAAUGGGUGUCAAACUUGGGCAUGAGGUUGGUUAUUCCAUUCGUUUUGAAGAUUGCACAUCUGACAAGACUGUUCUGAAAUAUAUGACAGAUGGAAUGCUGUUGCGAGAAUUCCUUGGUGAACCAGAUCUGGCGAAUUAUAGUGUGGUGAUGGUGGAUGAGGCUCAUGAAAGAACACUCUCAACUGAUGUCCUCUUUGGUUUGGUAAAGGAUAUUGCAAGAUUUCGUCCUGACCUGAAGUUGCUUAUAUCAAGUGCAACACUUGAUGCAGAGAAGUUUUCCGAUUAUUUUGAUUCUGCUCCAAUUUUCAAAAUUCCAGGUAGGCGGUUUCCUGUUGAAAUACAUUACACCAAAGCACCAGAAGCUGAUUAUAUAGAUGCUGCCAUUGUUACUGCCCUUCAAAUCCAUGUGACACAAGCACCUGGGGAUAUAUUGGUAUUCCUUACUGGUCAAGAAGAAAUUGAAACAGUAGAAGAAAUUUUGAAGCAUAGAAUAAGGGGCCUAGGAACGAAGAUUGCUGAAUUAAUAAUCUGCCCCAUAUAUGCCAACCUACCCACCGAGUUGCAAGCAAAAAUAUUUGAACCAACACCUGAAGGUGCAAGGAAGGUGGUCCUUGCCACAAAUAUAGCUGAAACGUCAUUGACUAUAGAUGGAAUUAAAUAUGUCAUUGACCCAGGCUUUGUAAAGAUGAAGUCUUACAAUCCUAGAACUGGAAUGGAGUCGCUGUUGGUAACGCCUAUAUCCAAGGCAUCUGCAAUGCAAAGGGCAGGUCGAUCUGGUCGAACAGGCCCGGGGAAGUGUUUUCGAUUAUACACGGCCUACAAUUAUCAGUGUGAUUUGGAUGACAAUACUGUGCCUGAGAUACAACGGACUAACCUUGCAAAUGUGGUUCUUAUGCUUAAGAGCCUUGGUAUUCAUGACUUGUUACAUUUUGAUUUCAUGGAUCCACCACCUUCUGAAGCAUUAUUAAAAGCAUUGGAAUUGCUCUUCGCAUUGAAUGCCUUAAAUAAACUUGGUGAGUUGACUAUAAUGGGUAGACGAAUGGCAGAAUUUCCUCUUGAUCCCAUGCUAUCUAAAAUGAUAGUUGCUUCUGACAAGUACAAGUGUUCAGAUGAGAUCAUUUCGAUUGCUGCCAUGCUUUCUGUGGGUAAUUCAAUCUUUUACCGACCAAAGGAUAAGCAAGUCCAUGCUGAUAAUGCCCGAAUGAAUUUUCACACUGGCAAUGUUGGAGACCAUAUCGCAUUGCUUAAGGUUUACAAUUCAUGGAAAGAGACAAAUUACUCGACACAAUGGUGUUAUGAGAAUUAUAUUCAGGUUAGGAGUAUGAAACGUGCUAGAGAUAUUAGAGAUCAACUUGAGGGGCUAUUAGAGAGGGUUGAGAUUGAGCUAUCCUCAAAUGAAAAUGAUUUAGAAGCUAUAAAGAAGACCAUUACAUCUGGUUUCUUCCAUCAUUCUGCAAGGCUUCAAAAGAAUGGAGCUUAUCGAACAGUUAAACAUCCACAAACUGUUCAUAUACAUCCCAGCUCAGGGCUUGCACAGGUUCUUCCUAGGUGGGUUGUGUAUCAUGAAUUGGUGCUUACAACCAAGGAAUACAUGAGACAGGUAACAGAACUAAAGCCAGACUGGUUGGUCGAAAUAGCCCCACACUAUUACCAGCUGAAGGAUGUUGAAGACCCUGGUUCAAAGAAAUUUCCUACUGGACAAGGGCGUGCAUUGUAAUGCUGACAACUAUAUUGCCCAAGUUGUUUCAGAUCCCGUUGUAUCUCACAAGAUACUGUUGUAUAUAUAACUGGUGGCUUGUCAGGGGAAAAAGAGACCAGGAAGAGGUAAAAGGACCGAGUGCUUAACUUUUUAUAUUUCUCUUGAACUGUAUGCAAUUUUGUAACUAGUUUUACCCUGGCUGCUGUUUCCUUGCUCGGUUUUCAUUUAGGACUUGGUGUGCUGAGACUGACCUUUUGCAGUCGUCAUUUAUCAAACCCAGGAUUUUGGCGUGUAGGGCUGAACACUACCUAAUUCAGGUUGACUUGAAGUUUUGAGAGUUUAUUCAAGUUCCAUUGGUGCUACCAUGCUGAUAUUCAAUCAGGGUUCUUGGGACUCAGAUUCAGCCAAUGUCGGAAAAUGAGCGAGAUUCUGCCAAAGUUCCCUUGACCUGAAUGUAGGCUCCUGCAGAUCCAUGUACCCUGAUAUGCCUGUUUGAUAAUCUGUUGUACUUGAAAUCAUGGAAUCAAGAUUUUGAGUUUACUAAAAACUUUAAAUAUAUCAAAAAUAAUUAUACCCUCC